GGGAGACUCCGUCUCAAAGAAAAAAAAAAAGUAUGGUGCCAGGCUUAAUACUUAGAAAGUGCUAGAGCAGCCUCUAUUAGGGGAUCUCUUCUCUGAUUGUACUCCACUUGCUGUAACACCAAAGGAUGCAGAACCAGGUUCUGUAGCAGAAAUUGCUGGUGUCUGUGGCAGGGGAGGGCACCUGAGGACAGGGAAGAAGAAACAUAUUUUUAUCUUUAUGGAGCAGCACAUUGUUCCCAAAUACCUUCUGCUUUAAGGGACAGAAAUGGAUGGACUUUUUCUGUCUUUUCUGCCAGUUGAUGUCAUGCUUGCAGGUAAACAUGUGGUACUGACACCCUUAAAGGCAUAUUCUCAAGAGGCAGGUAAAAAACCAAUUCCAAAAAAGUAUUGCAACAAAAGGAAGCACCAAAUAACUAUAAUAUCUUUAUGGCUUGCAAAAAUAUAGGCAGAAAAGGGCUUUCUUUUCUAGGGAAGAGCAAACAAGAUUAGAAAGGAGGUGGGAGAGGAACAGCAAAUGGAGGGUGAAAAAGUCAGAUUUUAGAUCAGAGAAUGGCUUACCCUGAAAUCAGCAUGUUCUUAGGAGGGACAUAAAAUGGGGUUGUAUGUUGACUCAGACUGAGGGUAGCUUGAAUUUCAGGAGCCUGAGAGAAGAUAAACUUAAGUAAAAUUUGAUUAAGAAAUAUUUUAUUUUAGGCUGGGUGUGGUGGCUCAAGUCUGCAAUCCCAGCACUUUGGGAGGCUGAGGCAGGCGGAUCACCAGAGGUCAGGAGUUCAAGACCAGCCUGGCCAACAUGGUGAAACCCUGUCUACUAAAAAUACAAAAAUUAGCUGGGCGUUGUGGCAGGUGCCUGUAAUCCCAGAUACUUGGGAGGCUGAGGUAGGAAAAUUGCUUGAGCCCUGGAGGUGAAAGCUGAAGUGAGCCGAGAUGGCCCCACUACACUCCAGCCUGGGUGACAGAGUGACACUCCAUCUCAAAAAAAAAAAAAAUCAUAAUUGAUUUUGACUGCUGAAGGCAAAUUCAGCUGGUUUUUUGUUUUUUUUUUAAUGAGAAAAAGGAGAAAAUGUGCAGAGUGUAUGUCUGGCUGUGUGAUAGGCAAGAAAAGGGAGCAUCAUCUUAAUCAUAACGGGAAGAGUGUUUCUUUCCAUAAACUGUUCCUGAAGCACACAAAGGAAGGAGAAUUUUAUUAAUCACAAAUAUUUUUCAUAAUUAUCUAUGUGUUUCAUCUUUCCUCAUCUCUUUUCUUUGUUCUAUGCAUUUCUUCCACUUGGCUUUUCCUGGGCUGCAUCUUAUAUAUUAAACCAGUAAGCAUAACUACAGUGUUUUGCUGAGUUCUGUGAGUAGCUCUACCAAAUUACUGAGCUUCAGGGAAGUUAUGGGAGUCCCCAGUUUUUAAACAGUAGCUCAGAACCAUAGAUGGGCCCAUGGGAUUUAUGACUGGCAUCUGCAGUGAGAACAAUGUUGUGGGACCGAGCCCUGAAUCAGGGUCUGUGCUGACUCUGGGUAGUGUUAGAAAUCAAAUGUUAUACAAUAAGUUGGUGUUGGAGAAUUGUUUGAUGUUCAGCAAAUGCUACAGAUUUGGUGCCAGAAAGAAGAUAUCAUGGAGGCCUGGCCUGGAAUAAAACUCUGGGUGUUUGGGAAUGGGAGAUUCUGCUCUCCUGUACACAGAUUGUCACACUGCCCAUUGUCCUGUGAUUCCAGGUCUUCUCCCAGGGUGACAGAGGACUGAAAACUUACAGGAAAGGAGCUCUGAUGACACAUCCCCUUUUCUUGCAGCUGCCACCACAGGAUUCCCACAUACUCCCAAACACACACACUAGACAUUGACAUGUCCACACUCCUCCCAGGACUAGGCACCACCCUCAGUGACUUCACCAUGACAUUUUUGGUCCAAGCACUUCUAGCCAAAAAGCCAAAAGUAUCUACAAGUUUCCUUGCAUAUUCCCAUCCCCGGAUAUCGAAUCUGCAGCAGCAACCUGUUUUCUCCACCAGCCUAGGGUUCUGGCCCUCCUUUUCAUAAUCUCAUCUGCCUGCAUGCACACAGAAAUAAAUCAGAGUACAGCCCCACCUGGUCAACUAUCUGUAGCAAAAAUCUGUCCAUUCACUGACAUUGCACUCUCUCUCACCUGGGGAUUUUUUUUCUUUUUUUUUUUAAUUUAUUUUUUUUAUUGAUCAUUCUUGGGUGUUUCUCGCAGAGGGG
This 2197-nucleotide long non-coding RNA is filed under the name Homo sapiens (human). Its description in RNAcentral is "HSALNT0396555". The record is from RNAcentral. Lineage: Eukaryota; Metazoa; Chordata; Mammalia; Primates; Hominidae.